Non-coding RNA from Gymnothorax javanicus (giant moray), 73 nucleotides. The record is from the annotation of a GenBank genome assembly. NCBI's taxonomy places the organism in Eukaryota, Metazoa, Chordata, Actinopteri, Anguilliformes, Muraenidae.
GACCACAUGGCCUAAUGGACAAGGUUUCUGACUUUGGAUCAGAAGACUAAGGGUUCAAGACUCUUUGUGGUUG